UACGUAGGUGGCAAGCGUUGUCCGGAUUUACUGGGCGUAAAGAGCGCGCAGGCGGUCGUUCAAGUCGCGUGUGAAAGCCCCCGGCUCAACUGGGGAGGGUCACGCGAUACUGAUCGACUGGAAGGCAGGAGAGGGUAGUGGAAUUCCCGGUGUAGUGGUGAAAUGCGUAGAUAUCGGGAGGAACACCAGUGGCGAAGGCGGCUUCCUGGCUCAGUACUGACGCUCAUGUUCGAAAGCGUGGGGAGCGAACAGG
RNAcentral lists this ribosomal RNA (253 nucleotides) under uncultured bacterium. RNAcentral's name for it is "partial 16S ribosomal RNA". It matches the Rfam family "Bacterial small subunit ribosomal RNA", at positions 524 to 776 of the family's 1533-position model. The record is from RNAcentral.